GAGUGCUAGGAGUGCAACUCUCGCUCAUUAUCAUAUCUAAUCAGCUAGUGAUGAGUGCCAUGUGUACUCUACUGAUAUCUGUUUAGGGAAAACAGAUGAAACGUAAUUGGUCUCGUCUGUGAAAUGACUCAUUAAGAAAGCCCGUAUGUAGGUCAGCGCUGAAUCUGAGCACAUGCACGUUUUCACAAAUUGGAAUCUAUGGCGUCUAAUGUGAAGUUGCAUUUAUACCAGUUAAGAAAACUUUGGCUGAGUUGUUUCCCAAAAUAUAAUGUGCAAAGAUUGGUGGACUUUAGUAUACUGAAGAGUUUUUUAUGAAGAGUUCUUUCAUUUUGGGUUUUUUUCCCUCCCCAUUUCAACUGUUUAUAUUUGUCAAAAUCCAGCUCAUGAAAGGAAACCCUUAAGUGCACUGAUCAAAGUUUUACACUUUCAGUCUUUUUUUUUUUUUUUUUUUUUUUCCCACAGCCCUCCAAAAUGCCACUGCUAAAUACAGUUUUGAGUUACAGGCUCAAAAUGCCAAGGUAUGCUGCUUGGACACGCCCCAGGUUGAGUCUGCUUUGGCUUUGUUUGGAACUCUUCUCUGGAACUUUAUCUGAUCUCUGACACUGGCACAGCUGGCUUGAGCUGCUUCACUUCAGGAUGAAAGACAUCCUGGCUGUUAGUGAAGCUGGGGUGGUUAGGAUGAGCCCCUCAGGCCUUACCUGGACCAAUCUGAAUCAUCUACACAGGUUAUCAACCAUCACGGCUGGAACACACGCCUUCAGUUAUCACCAUUUUGACAUGGACACCAUUUUCCUCUCAUUCACUACUGCAAGUGUUUAAUAUGUUGUAUUAGAUGGUGUUUUGGAAAUUUCACACCAUUUACGUUAACUAAACAUUGCAGUUUUGUUUUGGUAAAACUGUGUCCCGCACUUGCUUGCCCUGUGUAUUGAGCUUUGUGAUCUUAAUUGUUCUUGAACAGUGCAGUGUUACGGUUUCUCUCCAGUGUGUAUUUUCUUGUGUUUGUUUCUUCAUCUCUCUCAGAGAUGCAGAAACAACGACUCUUCUCAAAGUGUGAACACUUGUUUGGUUUGACUUCAGUAUGGAUUUGAUUGCUAUCUCUCUCAAACUGCAAGAGUGGAGUUUUUGGGUUGCCACUGUGGGGUAAUAUCUGUUACCCCAGAUAUUAAGUGGGCUUUUACAGUAGUUUUUACUUUCACAUCAAUUACAUGUCACAGAUACUGUCAUUAAAGCUUUUAAUUGUAUUUUAACCAGACUGUUCAUUUUGUGUACAGUUGUUUCCACAUUGAGGACAUGGGGAAAAACCCAUCUCCUGUGUGUUGGUCAAUAUGAGAUCAAAGUUGACCCUUAUUUUUAAUCUUUCAGUGUGCUUUGAGUUGUAUCUGUGACUUUUUUUUUUCCAACAUGAUUUGUUGGUUUAACUUGAUGUAACCUGGUUUCCUUAAUUGAGUUCAUUUAAACAAAUGAGUUAGUACAAAAAAAAUGUGUUCUCUUUCUUUGUAUUAAUUUAAGGAACUGAAAAUUAAGGCAACCAGGUUACUUUUACUUUUAGUUAAACCAACAAAUCAUUUAAAGCAUUUCGACCUGUUCAAUCCUUCCCCUCCAACCACCUUAUAUUCAUCACUUUUCACAGUCCACUGUGUCCCAUAUUUUUGUCUGUUACACUAAAGUGUCACUUCAUAGAAUAAAAAAAAAAUAUUACAAA
Long non-coding RNA from Ctenopharyngodon idella (grass carp), 1702 nucleotides. RefSeq lists it as uncharacterized. The transcript has 2 exons. The record is from RefSeq and is a predicted model, not a curated record. Lineage: Eukaryota; Metazoa; Chordata; Actinopteri; Cypriniformes; Xenocyprididae.